GCUGUGUCUGAUGUAGCUUCAUGGAUAAAUUGAAUUUUGCUGGAGCAAUCCUGCUUAUUUCACACAAAUACCACGUAGUGAAUGGCUGUAAAUCAUGGUGAGGUUACUGUAGCUGAAAGUGCUUUGUACCAAAACUGCAGAUUACUGUAGGUCAACCCAUCAGAAAAUUCCUCUUCAGAUUUAGAACACAACCACUAAUUUUGCUUCUCCAGCCUAUUUUAAAAAUAGGAAAACAACAGCCUCUUUUAAAAAUAGGAAAACAAACACUUUACUAAAAACAUCAUCUUUUUUUUUUUUCCUCUCUUUCUUUUCCUAUUUUAUUUUGCAGGCUGCCUAAGCCCUGACUCAGCAAGGCAUUUCUCCUUUGUGCAUAUCUUAUGCCUCAUGUACCACAUCCCACCUUUAUUUUGAUUCUCUAAUUCCUUCAGAUUUUUGGCUCCUGGGUGAAGUCCAGCUAAUGGAAACUUAGUCCCCAUGGAAAGCUGAGUGGGCAGAAUUAGAAAAAAAAAAAAAAAAGAAGUAGAAAAUGAGGAAAACUUGGAUGAAAAUUAACCAGAUGACAAUGGGAACCACCUGAAAUUCUCGUUCUGCAGAGGACAUAGCUGUGAAGUAGAGGGCAGUGUGAUAACAUCAGGCUCCCUGGCAGAUGAUGCUGCUGGAAGAAAAAAGAAGACAAGUCUUGGUGUGCAUCCAGAGACAUCAUCUGACCAUACUGACCUCCCUGUUUGUUACUUGCAGGAUGGAAAUGGUGCCCGCAAUACGCCAGCUCAUGUGCUGACUGGCACGUUGCUGUGGGUAGUGGCAUGCAGGGGACUCAGGGUUAGCAGUGUCCUGCCAAUGCCACCCAUUGCUUGCGGGUGACAAGGAGCUGUCCCU
This 876-nucleotide long non-coding RNA is filed under the name Anser brachyrhynchus (Pink-footed goose). Its description in RNAcentral is "lncRNA (ENSABRG00000016235.1)". The record is from RNAcentral. Lineage: Eukaryota; Metazoa; Chordata; Aves; Anseriformes; Anatidae.